Molecule: long non-coding RNA, 3698 nt
Organism: Triticum aestivum (bread wheat)
Lineage: Eukaryota; Viridiplantae; Streptophyta; Magnoliopsida; Poales; Poaceae
Exons: 2
Source: RefSeq, a predicted model, not a curated record
CUUUCUUAAGUGAGAAAAACGUUUCGUUCAGAAAUUUUACAAAUAAAACCCUAUGGUUUCAGGGAUUCAACCCGCAGUCCUCGGAUACAAAUCGGUUUCUGGUCUGUAGAUCGUGCGGCGGCGCUCCCGAUCCCCGAUCCGAUCGGGAGCAGGACGACGGCGGCAGAGCUCCGGGAGGCGGGGAACGACGGGGAAGUGGCGGAGGUCGGGAUCCAUCCCGGCGGUUCAUAGUGGUGGCCGGCCGCGGCGGCGCUCCUGAUCCCCGAUCCGAUCGGUAGCAGGAUGACGACGACAGAGUUCCGGGAGGCGGGGAAGUGGCGGAGGUGAGGAUGCAUCCCGGUGGUUCGUAGUGGAGGCCAGCGGCAGCGGCGCCCCAUGGCUGUGGCGACUCGGUCUUCUGGGAAGAAGAUACGAGGGAGGGAGACGAGGUGAGAUGGAGAGAACGGAAGGGAGAAUACGGACUGCGCGGCUACUUGCUGCUGGUCCAACGGCGGCUCCAGUCAUCGGAUCAGGUUUUGUCCGGAUUCCUCUCCUCCCCGCAAAAAAGGUAUGCCAUGUCGUUGUUAAUUGCUAGAGACGCUCUUCAUAAGUUCAGCCUGUGGCCAACAGCAACCUCCAGGUCACCUGAGAAUUCAGUGGCAUAGGCAUGCUCUCGCCUGAUUAAUUUUGUAUUGAAGAUUUUUCUUUGGCGUGUGGGCAGCACCCAUCAGUGUUAGAGUACAUGUUCAAUAUACAUAACAGCUUCUCUGGUGACUUACUCAUCUAAUGGUUAGAUACAAUUUUAGCAACAGUGAAUAGACGCAUGAUACGUUUAUCUGCUUCUGAAUGUUCAUAAUGUUUAAACGAUUCAAUUUUUAAAUGAUUUUGCUUUAGAAGUUGAAUCUGCACAUCGACUAUAUGCUCCAACACUGCAGGCCAACUCUUGAUGGAUUUCCAAUGUGUUGCUGGCCUCCCAAUUUUUUCCGUCGUGCAGCCGCUCCCCGUCUCCCUGCGUCGUCCCAAGAUGGUCCGGCCGGGUGCUGCCCUGACAGCCGAGCGUGUGCUAUCCACGGAACACGGCUCCUCCACCCAGGACCUCCUCCGCAACGCCGGCGAGGACACUACUUCGUCCGAACCGAUCAUCACGACCACGCGCAGGUACACACACAUGUGCUCCCUGCCACCCCUGCACUGAUUUAAGGCGAAAUCCAAUUGGGGGGUAUUGAUAGGCACCAAUGUAUUCUUGAUUGAGUUCCCAUUUCUUGAAUUACGUUGAUCCUUUUGGUAAGAUCAAACCGAACAAACUGAACAUCACUUGCCCAAACAAGCUGAACGUCAUGCUACAUUAUUGCAAAUCAGUUGCCAGGACUUUGUGUUCUUUGUACAAAACAGCCAAGACCUCGAUCACUUAUUUGUAGAGCACAAGCGAAGACACUGCUAGAUAAAUGUCUUCCCAAGCUAAAGGCUCAUGGCUCCGAAGUACUAAUAUUCUCUGAGGACCACCAUAACAUGUGAAAAAUUCGAAGAGCUUUGUGAAGAUUUGUGGGAGCGGCUCUGACUACCAAUUAAGGAAGUCCCACGCAGCGGGCGUGAAGAUUGGUCACAUAUAUAUGUAUAGUAGAGCUGAUUGAGGACUUACACGGCACCCAAACUGCAGGUGAUUAUACUCUUCAUUGAAGACUUAUACUUUGAGGGGCUGUAAUGGUAAUGCAGGAAUGUUGCAUCGUUCCUAUCUACCAUCGACCAUCAUUACUUACUUUUGUUGUUCUUCUUGCUAUUGGCUGGUAGCUUUUAGUAGCAAUUUGGAUAAUUUUGUGCAUAAUAUUCUGUCUGAUUUUGGGGCCAGAAAGGUCGGGGAUUCUGCUGUGGGUGGAUCAUGGCCUCCAGAACAAUGCACACUAUAUAGUAGCCUGAGCAAGUUGUGGGCGGUGCCUUCAUAUGGUUGUUAAAUUGCUGCUCUUUUUCUAUAUGGAUUAAUGCGAAGCACCUCAAAUUUCUCGUUGAAGAACAUAUGUUUCUUUUUGUUCGAUUUGAGUUCUUGCUCUCCCAGUUCAGAACAUUUAGGACGUGAUUUUGGAGAAACUUCGAGAGUAGGAAUAAGUCACCCGUCGUAUUCAACUUUGUAAUUAAAAUGAUUUAGAGUAGGAACCAGAGCUGAGAUUGUUACUUUUUAUGUAAUAAAACGGGUGCUAUAUCAAAUGAUUUUUUUUCACAAAGGUGGGGAUUCAACUCUGUCGCUAGAAAAUGGCUAGAGCGUACUUGAAUUGUUGAAAACGUGGAUCAGGUCCUAUAGUAGCUAUCUUUGAUUUACAACCAGAGUACACUUAUAAUUAUAGGAUGAAACUUUAUAUUAUUUUGCCAUCUUAUUUCGUUUGUAAAAGUAGCUGCAACAACUAGCAGUUUAAAUUGAUGCAUGCAUGCAUAAUAUAGACAACUAAUUAAUUAGCUUUUCAAUAUUAUCUGUCACUCCACUAUUUAUCUGUUUCUUCAGUGUACAUGCACGAUAUUACAUGAUUAAACAUACCAUUUUUUAACUUCAUUUAGUUGUCUAUAUUAUGCUCUAUGUGCUAUUACCAACAACAAAAAAGUGUUACCUCUGUACCACGCCUACCAAGCGUCUUAUAUUUUGGUAUGGAGGUAGUAUUUUUAGCCUGCAAAGCGACUCCUAUGCCCAGUGUGGCAAUAAUGUGUCUGCACCAGUGAAGAGAGAACUUGUUUUUUUACAUUGUAAGAAACACGUUUUGUUUCUUCCCCAUCAUUUAAGUGUGUGCCAUGUUACUUUUGUUCAUGUUGCUGAAUGUACAUUUUCAGUAUUCUCAGUAUAUAUCUGAUUAUGAUGAUGUUCCAUACUGUUCUGGAGCCGACAACUUUUUGGACUGCUCGAUGUUUAUAACCAAUGAGACUACUUUUUUGGUUGUUGGCUGGAGCUAUCACUAUGACUGAAAUUUUCUUUUCACCCAAGUAAAUUUAUAUGGUCAUCAAAAACCAACGACAGGUCAACACUUGACAGCAGUUUGCAAUUUGUAUUACAAUAUGCCUAAGCCAAUGGUCAAAUAAUGUUGUUUUAGUUAGGAAAUGUAGAAAACGUGGUCAUGAUUUAUGUAGAUUGGACAGUCCCUUCAAACUGCAGUCUUCGAUCUUGAGUGGACAGUCUAACUAUAUGUUUCCUAGAAAAUUGACUAUAGGUUCCAUGAAUUGACUGAUUAUUUUGGCCUGAUCAGAUUAUACUAGGUCUUGAUUUGAAGGUCCAGUUAAGGCAGCUGGUGCUGAUUUAUUUGUUGUAACACUAACUAUGUUAUUUAGACAACGACAUGUGGUCUUUCUCAUUCCUCGACAUUUUCCUUUGCUACCAAGAUUUUUCAUUCUAGGUUGUGGAAAAACGGAUGUAGCAUUCCUUCUACAAGUUGUCAUGAGCUGGGACAUAGAAGAAGAGAGCCGACGAGAAGUCGCACAACGGUUCGCUCCGGUGUCGCUGCCAAUGGUGCUGCGCAAAGUGCGGAUUGCAGGCUAGAUGCGUAUGAGUCCGUCCCUACGUCCAUGACGUGGAAGCAAAGGAAAUCGAUACAAUUAGAUAGUAUAUUUGGUUAUGAAAGUUGUCUUUUGUGUAGGCAGUUUUGCCAUUAUUUUGUAAAAGCUUUGAGUUUUUGGUAAUGUACUUGUCUUACUAAUCACACUUUUAACCAAUUCGUGCCAAGGCUAAUAGCCAAGUUCUGCACAAA